Molecule: long non-coding RNA, 1868 nt
Organism: Papaver somniferum (opium poppy)
Lineage: Eukaryota; Viridiplantae; Streptophyta; Magnoliopsida; Ranunculales; Papaveraceae
Exons: 2
Source: RefSeq, a predicted model, not a curated record
ACCAACAAGUUCUGUAACAAAUCCAGUAGAUACAAGAGCUUUAAACAACAAAAUGUCUCGUCGGAGUCCAAACAAAGACUAAGGAAAAGAAAGAGGCGUGAAAAACAAGAAAUUGUUAUUACACAACAAAGAGAAAAGAGGCGAAAUUGUUGUGGCUGAGAAUAUGAAGAACAACCUCAUCAAGCACUGAAAUCAUCAGAUUUGCCACAUCAACUGGGAACGAAUUUCUUCUUCCUAUCUCUCUUAUCUUGUUCUUAAUUUUCUGAUCUACAAUAUUUAAAACAAAGUUUUGGAGAAAAAACCCUUCACAAAAACCAGGGCUUGUUCUUUAAUACAAGUCAGAUUUUGUUUCAAAAUCUUGAUUAAGAAUGAUUUUUUGUUACAGAUCUACAACCAGUAGAUCCUAUUCUUCAAACCCAUGGAAGAUUUUUUCCAAAAACACUAAAAAUCAACAUAUUUGCCUGAUUCAGAGCUUUUUUUAUUCUCUUUCUCUUCGUACUGUGUUACACAUCGGAGAAAUUGAUAACUCAAUUGAACUGCUGCUGCAGAAAUUGACGAUUAUGAAGUCACAUCGGAGCAGCAGAAGAAAGCUUCAAAGCUGCAUCGUGCCGGCCAAUUGAAGUCGGUCACCAGUUCUUAUCCGAACUCAUAUCGGAGUGAUUCACCAUCAGCACAACAGAUGCUAGCCCUCGGCAUCAUAGCCUAAUUGAGAAUAUGGUGGUAGACGAAAUCACAAGUACGGACCACCAACAGCACCAUAACCAUCUCGUACAUCUCAAUUGAGAUCCUCCACCUCACACGAAGUAGGUCAGAAAGCUACCAGUUCGUGAAGAAGCAAUCAGUGAGAGCCAACUAGAGACCAGACUCACCAAGUCAUCGGACUGGAGCCUCGGCCUGAUCUGCUCGGACUCAUCAGUCCAUCUCCGAGCACCAACCUCGGACAAGCAAUGCAGCCAGAGCUUGAACUCGGAUGCAUCAACACUUUAGCCUGAUUUAGAAAAAUGAUGAUGGACGAAGUCGCAUCGGAGCAAUUAUGAUUACAGACCGCCAUCAGCACCAUCUCGGGUGAACAAUUCGUGAAAAAUUACAGAGUCAAUCGGACUCAAUCCAUACCAGACAGCUCAAUUAGAGCAACCAUCUCGUAAUGGCAGUACUGCUCAACUCAGGGCAUCAACUUCACACGAUUAGAUCGGAAAGCUACCUCCUAUCAACUCGUGAAGAAGCAAUCAGCAAGACGAUGUUCAACUCGGAGUAACCAUCAGCUCAACGAUGUCGGACCAGAAGCGAUAUCAGUUCAUAUCGGACAGCUCAACCUACAUCGGACUAACCAAGUCAUUGGAAUGGAGCAUGAACUCAAAGAUGAUGAUGGGCGAACUCACAUCGGAGCAGCCAUCUCAGACAGAUACUGACGAUUAAGAUCGGACAGAGGCAACUCUCAUCACCUCGUGGCAAAACAACCAGCACGAUGGGAGCCAACCAGAGCUCGGACUCAUCAUUCUCAGACCACAGGCGAGCUAGGAAAACAGAGUCAACCAACACGAUGAUGUUCAACCGAGUCUCGGACUCACCAGUCUCGGACAAGCAAUACAACCAGAGCUCGAACUCAUGAACUGAUCGAUCAAGGAGGAGCACGAACUCGGAUCAUACAGUAAUAUCGGGCUGGGACAUCGGACAUGUCUCCUGAUUCCCUCGGACUCAACAUUUCAUCUCCGAGCAACAACUCGGAUACCACACCUUCCUCUUUCAAUUUACUUUUCUGAUUGCAUAUAUGAUAUGCUAAGAUUCAUAAUAGCUCAAUGCUUAAUACUUAGAUGCAUAGAUACUUGAGUAGUACUUUGAAUCAAUAGAAAUUUGAUGCAAUUUAUGAA